Molecule: long non-coding RNA, 1015 nt
Organism: Protopterus annectens (West African lungfish)
Lineage: Eukaryota; Metazoa; Chordata; Ceratodontiformes; Protopteridae
Exons: 2
Source: RefSeq, a predicted model, not a curated record
GGGAGUUCACAAUAAUACAGGAACAUCCAAGGAGAGCAUAUACCAAAGCAGUAGUGAAGCAAAAAAGGGGAAUGUGAGAUCGUAUUGGUCCUGUACAAAACAAAGAUAAGACUGCAGUUGUGAUACUGUGUACAGCUGUGGUGUUCAUGAAGAAGAAAAACAUUAAGCACAGAAGGGAGGGCAGAGGUGUGCAACCAAAGAGAUUAGAGGUUUACAUGGAAUGAAGAAUGUGGUGAUACUGAAAAAUGUGGCAAGGGAAUGACGUGAUACAAAAUGUAUGCCAAUAGGCACAGGUCUGAAAAUAAAAGAUGGCUAAAGGGACCAAAAUAGUAAACUGUGGACUUCCAGUACUUGACAGGCAUUAAGCAGCAUUUUGCCAUGGAAAUGUUGAUAAGAUCCUGUAAUUCAUUGUUGCAGGAAGUGGUAAAAAAACAGAAGACAAGCUGGAAUAAUUAGAUGAAAUAAAUGAACAAUAUAAGUAUGUCUUACUGUCUCGUGUUUUGCUUCUAACUACAAAGCAUACUUACAUGUGUGUAUAUAUUCCUUUUCUGACUACAAAUGUGAAAAUAGUAUCAUAUCUUAACACUGAAAAUCUUCAGAGUUUGAUAUUCUGGCCAUCAGAGAAAACACUGCAUGUUUGGAUAACAGCAACUGGAAAUUCCAGAGUGUGUUAAUAUUACACAGUCUCCUCCCCCAUGUAGUUUACUGAACCGGAAGGCAAACAGACAUACGCUUUGCCUCGACAGAGAGAGAAAGACAGAGAGUAAGAGGCAAUAUUUACUAGAGUUGAAACAGCUCAGAGAACUUCACACUAAACUGACAAUUUCAGAUACCUGAGGUUUGCAGAUUAAAAAGAGGGUAACUGUAUUCUCCUUGCCACGUAGUACAGCUGGAACAUAACUUGACACCAUGAGUUCAACUGUUCAGUUACCAAAUGGGGUUGUUGUCAUGACUAUAGUCUAUCCUCAGACUGGAGCUGGAAGUCUCACGGAGAAAAAAGAACCAAACAUUCCCA